UAUGCGGAGAGAAGCUACAUAUAAAAAUAUACAUAUCUUAUUAUUCAAUUUAUAUAAAAAUCCAAAAAAGACAUCUAAGGUAUAAUAUCAAAAAGCAAUGAAUAGUUGGGACCAAGGUUUUUUAAAUAUAUAUAUUUUUUGCAGGAGUGGGGCAAUGAGGUUGAGGAGGGAUAUAAUUGACUAAGAAAAGGCAAAAGAAACCUUCUUAAGUGAUGGGCGUUUCCUAUACCAGGAUUAUGAUGGUUACAUAUUUGAGGUCUCACUGAAUUGUACAAGAUAAUAAGUGAAUUUGAUAGUACAUAAAUUAUACCUCAAUAAGGUAAGGUUGAUUUAAAAAUCUAUUCCAGCAUUUUUAGUUGUUUUCAGUGAGUAGGCCUUGUCUGUCAUAAUUCCAGAAACAGAACAUCCAACAUAAUUUUUUCAUUUCUUUUAUUAUGUAUGAUACUACUUCCUGAUUUAUCUGUUUUAGACCUUAUUCAUGCGUUUUCCACCAUGGUAGUUACCCCCAUACAGCUACCUUUUCACUUCCCGUCCCCCAUCUCAACAUAACUAUCGCAAUUUAAAAAAUCAAAUAGUGUUUACACCAUUUAUGACUAUGCAAAUGUUGUUCAAUGCUACAAAAUAGUGUACUAUUAUCACAGCUUCUUUCUUAUGCAAUGUAAUUGUUUUUCCUCCUGUUAAUACUUGCCUUUCAUUUUCAUUAGCCUGGUUUUCCAUGUAUCUAAGAAUUAUUUUUCUCCAAAGCUUGGACAUUUCUGCCAUAUGUAUAUCAUUGAUAUUCUCCAUAAACUCAAACACAUAAUUUCUACUAUUUUCCUGGAGACCUCCCUUCCUGAAUCCUUCAUCUUUCUGCUCCAGUCUGGACCCAUUGACUUGGAGACUUCAAAGCAGUCGUGUUGGUACUUCCCUUCUCUGCUCUCCUAUCUUUAGUUCCAUGCCUUUCUCAUUCUUGUUUUACUCUUCAGCUUUGGGGGAGUUCAUCAUCCAGGUGCCUCCCAUUGGAGCUUUUUGGGGGGCUCUUUGUCUCUCUUCUAUAUUUAGACUACAACUUUCUUCCCUUUAUUACGUCAGACAUCUCUCUUUUUUUCUUCCAAAAUAUUCAUUGAAAUCUCGUCUAUUGUUUUCUCUCCCUUUCUUGUCAAGGGUUAGUAAUUUAAAAAAUCUUUUUACUGUCAUCUGACCAAGGUUUCAGGAGAGGGAAGAGAAACCUAUGUUCUCAAUUCAUCAUUGUAAACUGGAACCCAGGCAUGACAUUUGAAAUGAAGGACACAUUCUUGAUUUUAACAAAGGAGAGAAAAUGAGUACAUAUACAGUAGAUUUGGUGCUAUGAAGAUGAAGGGAUUCAUAUCAAUGGGCUUCAGUUUUAUCAGUGAAAGAUGAGGCUAG
RNAcentral lists this long non-coding RNA (1386 nucleotides) under Equus caballus (horse). RNAcentral describes it as "lncRNA (ENSECAG00000052932.1)". Lineage: Eukaryota; Metazoa; Chordata; Mammalia; Perissodactyla; Equidae. The record is from RNAcentral.